Molecule: unclassified non-coding RNA, 463 nt
Filed under: Hevea brasiliensis (rubber tree)
Lineage: Eukaryota; Viridiplantae; Streptophyta; Magnoliopsida; Malpighiales; Euphorbiaceae
Source: RNAcentral
CGCCCUGAUGUCCCAAUUUUCCGUGAUCUGAGUCUUCGUGCAAGAGCCGGAAAAAUUCUAGCCCUUGUAGGUCCUAGUGGAUGUGGCAAGAGCUCAGUCAUUGCACUAGUACAGAGAUUCUAUGAGCCAUCGUCUGGAAGGGUUAUGAUUGAUGGGAAGGACAUAAGAAAAUACAACCUCAAGUCCCUGAGAAAGCACAUUGCUAUGGUUCCUCAGGAACCAUGCCUCUUCGCUGCUACCAUUUAUGAAAACAUUGCCUACGGGCAUGAAUCAGCAACUGAGGCUGAAAUCAUUGAAGCUGCUACUUUAUCCAAUGCCCAUAAAUUUAUAUCAGGAUUGCCAGAUGGGUACAAUACAUUUGUAGGGGAGAGAGGAGUCCAGUUAUCUGGUGGACAAAAGCAGAGAAUUGCCAUAGCUCGAGCUCUAGUAAGAAAGGCAGAACUUAUGCUACUUGAUGAGGCAA